RNAcentral lists this long non-coding RNA (847 nucleotides) under Pan troglodytes (chimpanzee). RNAcentral describes it as "lncRNA (ENSPTRG00000052940.1)". The record is from RNAcentral. Lineage: Eukaryota; Metazoa; Chordata; Mammalia; Primates; Hominidae.
GUUUCAGGCUAAAUUGGAACAUUGCGCUCAAUGCUGAAGAAUGAUAUUUGUUGUUUAUCGUUUUACAGAAUUCUUCUAACUCAGGCCCAAACAUCUCCACACUGUCCCCAUCCUCAAGCCCUGCCGUCCACUCCACCCCUAUUUGUACAGGAGCCAUUUAAUAGAGCAAACAGUAUUCGUUUGGCAGUUUAUUUGUGCUGCACCAAAAAAAACAGAGAAGCCAAAACAGAAAGAAAAAGGAAAAACAAAAAACCAGAAAUGGAGAAGUGUUCCCUUUCCAGACAAUCAUGAAGAAAAGAGAUAGGGAUGCGCUGAGGCUGGACUACCCGAAGGCAUCGGGGUGUCCAGAGAAGCUGGGCUUGAGGGAGGCAGCAGCUCCAACACCUUAGAGCCUUGGGAACAGUCCCUGUGACAGCCACACUGAUUGAGAGGAAAAAGCACAGCGGGAGAAGUUGAUCUCUUUCCACUGGGAGAUUGAUCUGCACUAGGUAAGUCUAUGAAUCCAUAAAGCCUCUUCAUCUCUAGAGUCUGUGAUUUCCUGUCUUCUCUAAAAGUCCUUGGCAAAACAGACAUUUAUUAAUGGUAUGAAACAGGCACUAUAUUGCAGUACAAAACGAAAAACGACCUCCACGUCUCAGUGCCUUUUCUCACUCCUGAGGUCCGCCGCAGGCUGGGUGACCCUCCCCGGCACCCGCCCUUCAUGCUGUAACCGGUGCAGCUCUGCCGUCUCGGCAGGAGGUUUCCUUGACUGCCUGGGCAAGGGAGGAGACAGCUGGAGCGUUGGGCGCUGCCUCUUCGAUUCUGACCUGUAGGAUUCACAGGUCCACAGUCCAUCAGCCAGAAUUAG